UAAAGAACAUGUUAAAAUUAGAAUGAGGUUAAAUUUAAAUAAUACAUGAUUAAUAGCCAUUGAAAUUGGAGAAUGCUUCUGGAGAUCAUAUUUUAUUUUUCUUGUUUGCAAGCCCCUCCCAUUGAUAUACCACCUCCAAAUGACCUUGGGCUACCUCAUCUUAUGAAAGCCACUUCUCUGUUUAGAAAUGAAACAGGAAGCACAUUUGUUUUGAUGUUGGAAAGAGAUUUAGAGCUGUCUGAAAUGCGAUCUCUUUGUUUGUUUACAAAAUUUUGAUAAAGAGGUAUUGAAUUACAUAACAGUUUAUUUGAAGUUCUAGUGGAG
RNAcentral lists this long non-coding RNA (324 nucleotides) under Androctonus crassicauda. The record is from RNAcentral. Lineage: Eukaryota; Metazoa; Arthropoda; Arachnida; Scorpiones; Buthidae.